AUACGGAGGGUGCAAGCGUUAUCCGGAAUCAUUGGGUUUAAAGGGUCCGCAGGCGGAUUAAUAAGUCAGUGGUGAAAUCCUCUCGCUCAACGAGAGAACUGCCAUUGAAACUGUUAGUCUUGAAUUCGGUCGAAGUAGGCGGAAUGUGUCAUGUAGCGGUGAAAUGCAUAGAUAUGACACAGAACACCGAUAGCGAAGGCAGCUUACUAGACCUGGAUUGACGCUCAUGGACGAAAGCGCGGGGAGCGAACAGGAUUAGAAACCCUAGUAGUCC
Molecule: ribosomal RNA, 274 nt
Filed under: uncultured bacterium
Lineage: Bacteria
Description: partial 16S ribosomal RNA
Rfam family: Bacterial small subunit ribosomal RNA
Source: RNAcentral